CAGGAGCUAGUUUAAAAGAAAACAGUUGUUUUGGGGACAACCGAUGCAAAGUUAACAUUGCGCACCUGA
Molecule: transfer RNA, 69 nt
Filed under: Holothuria poli
Lineage: Eukaryota; Metazoa; Echinodermata; Holothuroidea; Aspidochirotida; Holothuriidae
Description: tRNA-Pro
Source: RNAcentral